AUGGCGGAUGGGGACUCGUCCGACUUCACCUUCUGCAAGGUUGACUAUGCUGAAAAUGAUGGUCGUUUGGACUCCCCUAAUUCCAUGGCUGUGGCAAGUAUGACACUGGAGGAUGUUGCCGGUGAUGGUGAGACUAAGAAGGUUCAGGAUGACAAGCAAAUAGUCAAUCCAGUUACUGAUGAAAAAUCUAGUUCCAUAUCUAGUCACGCCAAUGGUGUAUCGCUUCGAGAGCCCAAUUUAAAAGAACCAGUUGUACCAACCAGUAGUGGAGAGUCUGUGCAGUCAAAUGUGGCUCAACCAAAACCUGUAAAGAAAUCUGCGGUACGGGCAAAGGUUCCUUUUGAGAAGGGAUUUAGCCCAAUGGACUGGCUUAAGCUGACUCGUACACAUCCAGAUCUGGCAGGGCUCAAGGGACAGUCAAAUCGGAGGUUAAUUUCUUUGGAAGAAGUUAAGCAGCAUAAAACUGGAGAUUGUAUCUGGACAGUUUUAAAAGGUCGUGUGUACAAUAUUGGUCCCUACAUGAAAUUUCAUCCUGGAGGAGUUGAUAUGCUUAUGAAGGGUGCUGGAAAAGACUGCACUGCUUUGUUCAAUAAAUACCAUGCCUGGGUGAACGCAGAGUUCCUCUUGGAGAAAUGCCUCGUGGGAUACCUUGAUCCCAAUGAGUAG
This 666-nucleotide ribosomal RNA is filed under the name Triticum aestivum (bread wheat). RNAcentral describes it as "partial small subunit ribosomal RNA". The record is from RNAcentral. Lineage: Eukaryota; Viridiplantae; Streptophyta; Magnoliopsida; Poales; Poaceae.